GUUUGACUACCUACUCUUUUCACUUGAUCCUGUAAAUCCUGAUGAGUUUACACCAAUAAUGAUCCAAUCUUUUGCCAGUACAGUAGCCCCCUGUUCCUUGGAUACCUGAUGGAUACAUGAUGGGUCUAUUCCUUGGAUACCUGAUGGGCAGGUAGCAGAUACAGCAGGGAUACUCUGGACAAAAGGAUGAUUCGUGUCCCAGGCAAGAUGUGCGAGAUUUCAUCACACUGAUUACAGUUGUGCACACAUUAAAAUUUAGGAGUCACUCAUUUCUGAGAUUUCCCAUUUAGUGCUUUUGGACUGGCUGACCCCAGAUAAGUGAAAGUGUGCAAAGUGAAACCUCAGGUAAGAAGGGGCUGUUGUAACUUGUUUGUGAUGACCAUAUAACCCACUCCUGUAUAAACCAAGCUAAUAAAUUUGUUCAGGGAAGUGGGUGAACUGGUGAUCAAAUGGGUCUUGCUCCAAGAAUGCAAGAGUGGUUAAAUAUUCAGAAGUCAACCACUGUCAAUCACAUAUAGGUGAUUUGGUAUGCAGAAAAGUGACAGAAUUAAUGUCCAUUUAUAAUCUUAGCAAAUGUGGAUAGAAAGGAACUUCCUUAAUUGGACAGAGUAACUUAAACUAUAACAAACAGUAUGCUUAAUGGUGAAAUAGUGAAAGUUUUCUCCUACGAUAUUAAGUCAAGGAUAUCUUCUGUCACAGAUUUUAUGCAACACUGUACGGAAGGACUUAGCCAGGGGAAUGGAUGGAUGGAUAUAUAUGGAUUGGAAAAGAAGUAAAACUUUAUUUGCAGAGACAUGAACUAUAGAAUACUGUAGAGCAAUGAGAAUGAUGAACUGUAACCCCAUGCAGUAGCGGCUGAAUUUCACCAUGCUGAUGAAGGACCACAGACACAACCAAGCCUACUGUGUGGUUCUGUGUAGAGCAUAUGGACGGGCAAAACUUGUCUAUGCAAUUAGGAAUUGAUACAGCAUUUACCCUUGGCCAGUGCUUACAAGGAAUAUUUAUCUGGUGCUGGUAAUAAUCUAUUUUGAAAUUGGGUGCUGAAUAUGUUUUGAGCUGUAUUCUUAAAAUGUAUUUUUUCUGCAUGUAUAUUACCUUUGAUAAAAGUUUUUUAAAAUCAAAUGUCUAACUUGCUCAGCACUCAGCAUAUUUUUCUGGGUACAAUAUAUGUGAAUAUGCUAUGUAACAGCAAUUAAAUGGUAGAUUUUUCAUAACUGCAAUGAUAUAUACUCUUCAUAGUAGUUUAAUGGCAACUACUAUGAUUUCCUACACUAUGUCGUUAAAGGUGACCAUUAUGUAUAUUUUAAGUAAAAUAUUUGAAAAGGUUAAGGCUCAUUACAUAGUUUGUCAUCCUACACUCUUGCAUAUGUAAAUGGGUCUGGCACAUAGUGGUUUUGAGCUUCCUCUUUAAUAAAAAAAGCUAACAUGUAAACU
This is a long non-coding RNA of Heterocephalus glaber (naked mole-rat), 1434 nucleotides long. Lineage: Eukaryota; Metazoa; Chordata; Mammalia; Rodentia; Bathyergidae. The record is from Ensembl.